RNAcentral lists this small RNA (298 nucleotides) under Eubacterium plexicaudatum ASF492. RNAcentral describes it as "5' ureB small RNA". It matches the Rfam family "5' ureB small RNA". Lineage: Bacteria; Bacillati; Bacillota; Clostridia; Eubacteriales; Eubacteriaceae. The record is from Rfam by way of RNAcentral.
AGCAUGGUAUCUGCUGCGGGGCUAUAAAGUGAAUAUGGCUGUCAAUGCCACCGGCAGUCACAAUUAGAUUCUCUCCCGCCAGAGCCUCCGUUGAUGCGCCAAUCGUCAUUCCAGGUGUCACACCAUCCAUCAGAUCUGGAUUUCCUGCUUUUCCUAUUCCAACGAUUUUCCCAUCCUUGAUGCCGAUAUCAGCCUUGAUAAUACCUGUAUAAUCAAGAAUCAGGCAGUUUGUGAUGACCAGAUCCAGCACCCCGUCUUUACUGCAGGCUUUUACGGACUGUCCCAUUCCAUCGCGGAU